CCACACAUGGGAGGUGAAAGAAUCCCAAAAGAGCAACCGCGAGUUUGCCACAGGCUGGGAGCACAUUCUUUUCAAGGGUCACAGAAUGCUGAGGCUUGUAGUAGCUUCAGGAAAAAUGACCUCUGACACCUGGUGGUUUGGACGGAUUAAGGCAUUAGGAACAAAACCGAAGGCAACUGGAUCUUGUGGAUGCGCAUGAACUCCCUCCUGUUGCAGACUGCACACUUCUUCAAGGGAGGCCAUUGGCUGGGCCCAGCCUUGACUUCAUGGUUGCGCCAUCUGCCAAGAGUAUUGCAACUGUUGGCAGGGAGACCAGGGCCUCUCCUUGUCUCAGGGUGAGACAAUUAACCGGAAGGAAGAAGGAAGGCACGGGACGUGAGGAAAACUGUCUGAGAGAAGUGGAGGGAGCAAGAGAUUUGGAGACGAUUAGCUGUUGCUUCCUUUUCUGCGGCUGAGGUGUUCUUCCUGCCACCCUCAUGGCACACUGACUCACUGGCGUGUGGCUGUUUGAGGGACUUGCUGUAAAAAGCAGCUCAGGAGCUUUGAAAGCUGGCAACAACAGUGACAUUACGUGAGUGGUCCUAACAGUGAUUCAGAAUUCAAACCUACUUCAUCAUUCCUGAAGCCUGUGGUUGGGCAAAUUCAUUUAUUGCAUGGACGGACCAAAGGCCUCUGAGCAGACUUUUCAACAUCUGACAUUUCCUUCCUAUUUCCUUUUCUCCUAAGCAAAAUUCCCUUUAUUUUUACCACCCACUAGAAGGGAGAAUUGAAAUUAGGUCCUUUUAUUUAAUAGCUUGCCAAACAAUAAACAGCUCUCUCAAACUAA
This is a long non-coding RNA of Arvicola amphibius (Eurasian water vole), 826 nucleotides long. RefSeq lists it as uncharacterized. The transcript is spliced from 2 exons. NCBI's taxonomy places the organism in Eukaryota, Metazoa, Chordata, Mammalia, Rodentia, Cricetidae. The record is from RefSeq and is a predicted model, not a curated record.